AUACGGAGGGAACAAGCGUUAUUCGGAAUCACUGGGCGUAAAGGACGCGUAGGCGGGUUAUUAAGUCGGGUGUGAAAUCCAAUGGCUCAACCAUUGAACUGCAUUCGAAACUGAUAACCUAGAGUAUGGAAGGGGCAGGUGGAAUUAGUGGUGUAGGGGUAAAAUCCGUAGAUAUCACUAGGAAUACCGAAAGCGAAGGCGACCUGCUGGGACAUUACUGACGCUGAGGCGUGAAAGCGUGGGGAGCAAACAGGAUUAGAAACCCCAGUAGUCC
Molecule: ribosomal RNA, 274 nt
Filed under: uncultured bacterium
Lineage: Bacteria
Description: partial 16S ribosomal RNA
Rfam family: Bacterial small subunit ribosomal RNA
Source: RNAcentral